GACGAACGCUGGCGGCGUGCUUAACACAUGCAAGUCGAGCGGUAAGGCCCUUUCGGGGGUACACGAGCGGCGAACGGGUGAGUAACACGUGGGUGACCUGCCUUUAGCUCUGGGAUAAGCCUGGGAAACCGGGUCUAAUACCGGAUAUGACUCCGCGGCGCAUGUUGUGGGGUGGAAAGCCUUGUGCGGCUGGAGAUGGGCCCGCGGCCUAUCAGCUUGUUGGUGGGGUGAUGGCCACCAAGGCGACGACGGGUAGCCGGCCUGAGAGGGCGACCGGCCACACUGGGACUGAGACACGGCCCAGACUCCUACGGGAGGCAGCAGUGGGGAAUCUUGCGCAAUGGGCGAAAGCCUGACGCAGCGACGCCGCGUGAGGGAUGAC
This 382-nucleotide ribosomal RNA is filed under the name uncultured bacterium. RNAcentral describes it as "bacterial SSU rRNA". It matches the Rfam family "Bacterial small subunit ribosomal RNA", at positions 28 to 412 of the family's 1533-position model. The record is from RNAcentral.